RNAcentral lists this ribosomal RNA (395 nucleotides) under uncultured Planctomycetota bacterium. RNAcentral's name for it is "bacterial SSU rRNA". It matches the Rfam family "Bacterial small subunit ribosomal RNA", at positions 30 to 424 of the family's 1533-position model. The record is from RNAcentral. Lineage: Bacteria; Pseudomonadati; Planctomycetota.
AUUGAACGCUGGCGGCAUGGCUAAAACAUGCAAGUCGAACGCGAAAGCACUUCGGUGCAAGUAGAGUGGCGAAAGGGCGAGGAAUAACUACCUAACGUGCCUUCAGGUAAGGGAUAGCUCAUGGAAACGUGUGGUAAUACCUUAUAAUCUCAUUCCUUCGUAUGUUGGAUUGAGCAAAGGCUUGCUGCCUGAAGAUCGGGGUAGUUCCUAUCAGCUUGUUGGUGAGGUAACGGCUCACCAAGGCGAAGACGGGUAGCGGGUGUGAGAGCAUGACCCGCCGCAUCGGGGACUGAGACACUGCCCGGACUCCUACGGGAGGCUGCAGUAACGAAUAUUCCGCAAUGCGCGAAAGCGUGACGGAGCAAUGCCGCGUGUGGGAUGAAGCAUCUAGGUGU